RNAcentral lists this unclassified non-coding RNA (201 nucleotides) under plant metagenome. RNAcentral's name for it is "partial contains small subunit ribosomal RNA, internal transcribed spacer 1, and 5.8S ribosomal RNA". The record is from RNAcentral.
GCUCCGUUGGUGAACCAGCGGAGGGAUCAUUAUCGAGUUUAUAACUCCCAAACCCUAUGUGAACUUACCACUUGUUGCUUCGGCGCGCGCUUCGGUGCCGCCGAGGACACUUAAACUCUUUGUUUUUAUAAGCAUUUCUAAGUGGCCGAAAGGCAAAAUACAAAUGAAUCAAAACUUUCAACAACGGAUCUCUUGGUUCUG